Molecule: ribosomal RNA, 1394 nt
Filed under: Enterobacter sp.
Lineage: Bacteria; Pseudomonadati; Pseudomonadota; Gammaproteobacteria; Enterobacterales; Enterobacteriaceae
Description: bacterial SSU rRNA
Rfam family: Bacterial small subunit ribosomal RNA
Source: RNAcentral
AGUGGUAGCGCCCUCCCGGGGGUUAAGCUACGGACUUCUGACUAAAAUCUGGACUACUGCGCACUGGAUGGGGAUAACUUCUGGAAACUCUAGCUGAGGUCGCUUCUCGUUGCAUGACCAAUUGGGGGGACGUUCGUAGCUCUAGCCAUCGUAUGUGCCAUGAUGAGAUUAGCUUGUAGUCAGGGCCACGGCUCUCCAGUGCGACACUCCCAGUCUGGUUUGAGAGGAUGACCAGCCACGCUGGAACUGAAGGACACGGUCCAGACUCGCUACGGGACUUAGCAGUGGGGAAUAUUUCACAAUGGGCGCGAGCCUGAUGCAGCCAUGCAGCGUGUAUGAAAGAGGCCUUCGGGGCAUAAAGUACUUUCAGGGGGGAGGAAGGCGAUGAGGUUAAUAGGUUUGUCGAUUGACGUUGCCCGCAGAAGAAGCACCGGCUACACUCCGUGCCAGCAGCCGCGGUAAUACAGAGGGUGCAAGCGUUAAUCGGAAUUACUGGGCGUAAAGCGCAGGCAGGCGGUCUGUCAAGUCGGAUCCGAAAUCCCCGGGCUCAACCUGGGCACUGCAUUCGAAACUGGCAUCGGCUAGAGUCUUGACUAGAGGGGGGUAGAAUUCCAGGUGCUCCGGUGAAAUGCGUAGAGAUCUGGAGGAAUACCUUUGGCGAAGGCGGCCCCCUGGACAAAGACUGACGCUCAGAUGCGAAAGCGUGGGGAGCAAACAGGAUUAGAUACCCUGGUAGUCCAGACCGUAAACGAUGUCGACUUGGAGUGUUGUGCCCAGGUUGAGGCCGUGGCUUCCGGAGCUAACGCGUUAAGUCGACUGCCUGGGGAGUACGGCCAGCAAGGUUAAAACUCAAAUGAAUUGACGGGGGCCCGCACAAGCGGUGGAGCCGGUGGUUUAAUUCGAUGCAACGUCAAGAACCUUACCUACUCUUGACAUCGCAGAGAACUUUCCAGAGAUGGCUUGGUGCCUUCGGGGCCUCUGAGACAGGUGCGGCAUGGCUGUCGUCAGCUCGUGUUGUGAAAUGUUGGGUUAAGUCCCGCAACGAGCGCAACCCUGUCUCCUUUCCAGUUGCCAGCGGUCAGGCCGGGAACUCAAAGGAGACUGUCAGUGAUAAACUGGAGGAAGGUGGGGACAACGUCAAGUCAUCAUGGCCCUUUAACGAGUAGGGCUACACACGUGCUACAAUGGCGCAUACAAAGAGAAGCGAACCCUCGCGAGAGCAAGCGGACCUCAUAAAGUGCGUCGUAGUCCGGAUUGGAGUCUGCAACUCGACUCCAUGAAGUCGGAAUCGCUAAAAAUCGUAGAUCAGAAUGCAACGGUGAAAUAAUUCCCAAUGUUUUAAACGCAUGGACUGUCUUUAUCAUGCGGGUAUGAUUGCGGGUCAGGUAGGAGGC